UGACAUACAAUUUCUAAAGUUAAUGUUUUAUUUAAAGAACAACAAAAGAACCAAACUACAGCAAAAUGACUCACUAAAUAGGGGAAGCCCCAGAAGCACUGAGUGAGACAGAUUGAAGAUGUUUGGAAACAAAUCAACCUCCUAACCACUAUGUCUUUACAGUGUUUACCUUUUUUCCAUAUUGCUUUGAAAAUCAGCAUUUUUCAGUUCAAGUAAAACUCCAGUCUGUCUCACUACAAGCUUUCCUUUUCACUUUUCAGGAAAGUCUCUUACCUGAAACUCUGAGACCUGAUUUGGGACUGCUUCCCUUUUUAGACAGGACACUUUUUUUGAGUAUCCUGUUUUCUCUCUGCCAGUACCGACACCCCAGAAAGUUUUCCAGAACCCAUCAAGUUCAUUUGGGCUACUGUGGAAGAAAUCUUUCUCUUUGUCCUGCUUUUCAGGAGAAAAUGCUUCAGGAUUCAUUGGCUCAGACAAGAAAAUUGAUGGAUAAUGUGUUACUUGUGAUCUUUGUUUUUCUUGAUGCUUGAAUGGGAAGACAACAUAUUGUCAGCUUUUUAAAGGUGAGUUCUAACUCUGGAGCUUUUAGAGAAAGCUUUAGAAUGGAGAGACUUAAAAACAUGGAGGG
Molecule: long non-coding RNA, 628 nt
Filed under: Parus major (Great Tit)
Lineage: Eukaryota; Metazoa; Chordata; Aves; Passeriformes; Paridae
Description: lncRNA (ENSPMJG00000015730.1)
Source: RNAcentral